CCCCAACUAUUGGAGAAAGUUCCAUUUUAGUAGGUAUCGUGGUUAUUGAUUAUUCCACUGCUGAAAUUGAUGAUAUUUCAAGUUCACUGAAAACUUUGACAGUUUGACACCCCCUAGCAGCCUUUAAAAAAGUGCUAGAGGGCUGCGAUUUGCGUCAUUGGUCAUCCCUUCGAAAUGCCUUUCCAAGUGUUGAAUGUACAUUAUUCUAUUUUUGGUGAAUUUUCGAAAAUAAAAAUUAGCCCAAAACUGUUGCCUUUUGCUAUCAAUUUCCAGAAAAAUCCCAUUUUUUUUCCAAGUUCAAGGUGCAAAAAAGUUUUACUUUUUCGACAAAAAUUACAAUCAACUAUUUUCAAAAAGUCUUGUUUUUUGGCAAAAAUUGUCAAAAAAAUUACUUUUUUUUGCUAUGAAAAUUGCUGAAAAUUUGUCGCCUAAUCGCAAAAGAUGAAUUAUAAUUGUACCACUUUUUUCUAAAAAUUGUUUUAACUCUCACUUUGUUGACAAAAAUUGCAAAAAAGUAAAAAGGUUGACCUUUUUGCUGAAAUUGUCACAGUCUUACAUUUUACCAACAAUUUCCAGAAAAAGUGUUUUUUCCCUAGCUUAUAAACUGCAAAAAGUCUCGUUUCUCUAAAAAAAAUUGCAACCAAUUAUUUUCAAAAAAUCGACAAAAAUUCUUGUCGUUUACGAAAUCGCUUGAAACCCCCCCCCCCCCCUCUGUUUUUUACCUCGAGGCUAAAAAUGUCAAAAAUCAUCAUAGAGUUUUCUAAAAAUCGUUGAAAAGUUUCACUUUUUGCCAAAAAUCGUUUUCCUGAGGAAAGCCUUAUUUUUCUAUUCGAUCAAGAUUCUGAUCCGGAGAUCGUCCGUCCAGCUGCCUACGUAGGUAUGAAUGAUCGAUAGAUGGGGAAAUUUUUUCAACUUUCUGUAAUCCAUGAGUUUUGUCAAAGUUACCUAUUGGCAAAGAUCGUUUUUAUAUUGUUCUAUAUGAAUCCUCAAUUCUCAUUUCAAUAGCUGUGUGGAAAAAUAUGAACAUUUGUCUUAUUUGAAUAUUAUUGAACGUGUAAGUUUCUAUUUUGGCUGUCAUUUUUACAUUCUAAACAAUGAAAAAACAAAAAAAAACACUCGUACAUAUUUUAUAUCUUCGAGUUUCGGAAGUAAACUAAUUCAGAUUUGAUAACGGUUAUCGUUAUUGAAAUAUCGCACGAAAUGUAAUAUCUGCUAUGAAAUUGUAAUUUAACUCAUAAAAAAGAUCAACUGUUCAUUUCAGUUUACAUAUAAAGUGUUAUUUCUAUUACGUAAGGAAUUGUGCUGUUCAAACGAAAAUUGUGCUCGUAUUAGGCAGGUACCGACCCACUGUGGUUGACAGAUUUGCUGAGAUACAUACAAUCAUACAUGGAUACUCUAAACUAUUCUGUAAACCAGUAUCAAGGAGCCGAAUGACGAAAUAAUACGAUUCUAUAUUCUCAUUAAAAUCAAUCUACAUAAAUGAUGUAUUUCUUGAACCAAUCACCAAUCAAAUGGUUUUCAAAUUUUUUGAUGCUUCUACUGUACUUACGACCUGUAAAAAAUGUUGAAUUGCCAUCUACCCAGUAUAAAGUAUUCUCUGAUGACGAUAACUCGUCACAAUUUAAUAAUCUAGCCAUUCGCUAUUCCGAAUUUGAAUGUGGACAUGAUUCAAUUUUCAUUGGAGCUGUCAAUCGUUUGUAUCAAUUAUCACUCGAUCUAGAACUAUUGGCAAAUAUUACAACCGGGCCAUUCCUUACACAUAAAAAUGAAUCGAUGAAUAAUUAUAAUAAAAUUUUGGCGAUAAACGAUGAAGACGACAGUUUGAUAACUUGUGGAACCGCAUCAAUGUGCACCAUUUACAAUUUACAUCGAAACGAUAUUAUAUGCAAAUCAAAUUCGAGAAAAGUAAUUCAACCAGUUGUGACAAAUAACGAAAAUGCUUCAACGGUAGCUUUCAUGGGCACGACUCAUAUAUAUGUGCCUGAAUUCGACGGCGAUGCAUUAAAGAAGCGACUAUGGAUUUUUCAAUCGAAACUUGGUUAUUUUUCAAACGGAACUGAACAACUGGAAGUGCCAGCUAUUGCUGCAAGAGAUAUCAAUACUCUCGAGAGACACAAAACAAUUUUAUUUCUCUGAAACUUCUCGCAAGGAUUAUAUCGUCGAUUAUGUAUAUGGAUUUCUAUGUGGAAAAAACAAAAUGUACAUUUUAACAAUUCAACCUAAAUCUAUUACGAAAGAAUCUCCGUAUAUUUCAAAAUUGAUUAAAACAUGUGCUCAAGGUUUUAUUUUAGAUAGCUACACAGAGAUGCCAAUUGAGUGCAUUGUAAAAGGAAAACUGCGUUAUAAUUUGCUGCAAGCAGCAUAUGUAGGUAAAGCUGGUACGAAGUUAGCCGAGUCAAUGAAUGUUCAUCAUGAUGACGAGGUACUAUUCGCGAUAUUCUCUCCGAGCCAAGACGUUUACUCGAAAAAACCUCUUGAGCGAAGUGCUCUAUGCAUGCGUUCGUUAAAAUCCAUUGGCCAGAAAGUUGAUAAAAAUGCCGAGUACUAUUUACUUCCCGAAUCAACUGAUUAUUGCCAAAAAAAUUCGAACGGGCCUGUUUUGGGGAGACUGUCAUUAAAAAUGCGUAGUGCAUUAACAUUCAAUUCACAUAUCACUGCAAUUGCAGUGAAGUCUUGCAAAAACCGGACUGAUGUUUUCGUUGGUACAAGUACUGGCCAUCUGAAAACGAUCGCCGUGGAGAAUUUUACCUAUGCCUACGAACAUGGAGAUCUUACGAUAGAUCAAGAUUCUCCAGUUAAUAAAGAUCUGAUUUUUUCUUCGAAAGAAGAUUACUUGUUUGUAAUGACCAGACGUAAGCUCACCAAAGUUGAUUUACGCGCGACCUUUUUAGAACCUAAUACCGGUACCUAAAUAUGUGAAAAUAUUGUAAUCAUAGACUGAUGGUAAUAGAUAGGUAAAUAAGAUUAAGUAAAGUUUAAAAAAUUAAUAAACUUUUUUCAAUGGCCUGCUUUUUCUGAUAUUGCCAAAGUCUUACCUACUUUGUGUCAAAAAUAGUAAAAAGUCUCAUCUCUUGUGAAAGUUGCCAAAUUAUCUCGUCUCUGGCUAAAAAUUGUCGUUCUUUCGUAAAAAAUAUAAAAUGUCUUAAUUUUUUCCCCAAAGAUUGCCCAAAUAGUCGGGUAGCCUGCUUAAGGAUCUAUUGCACCCUCCCCCCGGCCGAUCCUCCGGGACAACUUGCAAACUAAUUUCAAUACGCUUCGAAGUCAACUGCAUGGGGGAUUUCAAGUCAUUUUGGAGCAUCCAGCGAUUUUUUGAAAAUUACUGGAGCCUCCAGUAGAUUUUUGAAACUUUAAAUUUCCUAAAAAUUUCAUCAAACGGAGAUGGAAAGUCAAAAUUUAUUCUGCAAACUAAUUUCAAUGGUUUACGAAGUCAUCUGCUGGUGGAUUUCAAGUCGUUUUGGAGGCUCCAGCGACUUUUUGAGAUCCCGUAUGGUGUUUUUUGGAAAAUUGAAAUUUCCAAAAAGUAGCUGGAAGCUUCAAAAUCAUUUGAAACCAUUUGAAUCCACCAUGUAGUCGACUUCAUAUCGUAUUGAAAUUAGUUUGCGAAAGUAUAUUUCAGCUUGCCAACUCCAUUUUGGUAAAAUGUUACUGGAAUUUCAAGUUUCAAAAAUCUACUGGAGGCUCCAGUAAUUUUCAAAAAAUCGCUGGAGGCUUCAAAACGACUUGAAAUUCACCUGCAGUCGACUUUAUAGGGUAUUGAAAUUGGUUUGCAGAAUUAAUUUUAGCUUUCCAACUCCAUUUUGAUGAAAUUUUGUGAAAAUUUAAAGUUGCAAAAAUCUGAUGGAAACUCCAGGAAUUUUCAAAUAGUCGCCAGAGGCUCCAAAACGACUUGAAAUUAACCUGCAGUGCUUCGUAGCGCAUUGAAAUUAGUUUGCAGAAUAAAUUUCAGAUUUCCAACUCCAUUUUGAAAAUCUGCUGGAGGCCCCAGAACUGCUCAAAACGGUUUGAAACAGUUUCCAAUUGAUUUGGCAUGUCGAAAAUAGAAUAUAACUCAAAUUUCAGCUUUCAUGUGGUCAAUUUGGUAAAAUAUUGAUUUUUCCCCUCAUUUUUGGCCUAAAUUUGAUUUUCAAAAAUUCACCAAAAAUCGAAAAAUGCACUUUAACCCUUGAAAUUUUGACAAGUGAUAAAUUUUUGCUUGAUCUUUCGAUCUACCUUUGUACAGUUUGAAAAAUGUUGUGCACGUCCUGUGUUGGAAUGGAACGCAAACCCUGCGAUUCCGGCCGACCUGCCAAUCAAAAUGGCCGCCAUUUUGUAAGUAGGGCCACUUUUUUUGAGUACAAGGGGUAGAAAUGUUCCUUAGGACUCCCCUUUUAAGAAAAAAGUUGUCCAGGAGGAUCGACGGGGGGGAGUGGUGCAAUAGAUCCUUAAGCGGGCUCCCCGACUAAAAAGUCUCAAAAAUUGCCUAAAAAUAUUCACUUUUUAGCAAAAUUUCAAAAAAAAAAUUUUUUUAAUCAUUAGGUACUCAAAAAUUAUGGGUUUUCCCAGAAAUUGCUAAAAGAAACCUUCCUUUUGCUAAAAUUGCCGGAAUCUCGCUUUGUGCCAAAAAUUGUUUUUUUGCCAGAAAUUGGCAAAAUUCACACUUGCCAAAAAUUGACAAAAAGUCUAUCUUUUCGACAAAGUAUAAGUAUCAUUUUUUUGCCACCAUUCUAAAGAGUUCUGUUUUAUGCUAAAAUUGUCGAAGUCUGACUUUUUUUUUUUCAAAAAUAUAGUUUUAUGCUAAAAAUUGUUUACAAGUCUCGAUUUUUUAUCAAACAAAAUAAUUUAACUUUUUAAAAUUAUAAACUAGGACAUAUGUAUGUACCUAUCUAUGUACUUAUUUUCAAUUUGGAAUGCUCUUGUUUUUUUGUUUUGUUUUUGUAAAUUAUUCUACAUUUAACUGUUUUGCUUACAUUUUGUAAUUUUUUUCCUGGUUACAAUACUGUUUUAGUUACCAAUUUUCUUUUUUUUUUUUUUUUUUUUUUUUAAAUUGAGUUCGAGUCUUGUAAGUAUUUGUACGUAUUACCUAGUCAUGUUUUUCAAUAUUGUUUUAUAUAACACCAAAAAAUAUAAGGUACAUUGAAAUAGUCAAUUUAUACGAGUAGGUAUGAUAUUUUUUCAUUAUUGUUUCAGGUUUUUUUUUCUUUUGCUUGAUAUUGCAGUAUAACGUUCAAUCAAAUCGUCUUACAUUUUGAUAGUCCAAUUAAAGAAUACCUAACAGAAUACUUAUUCGACAAAAUCCAUUUACCUGUACUGUAAACCCUAAUUUUACAACUAGAGAUCCGCCAUUGAAAGGAAAAUCUAUCAGUUGAAAUUCUGGUUGUCCAAUUUUCUUUUUUUUUCUUUUUUUUUACAUUUUGUUAUGAAAUUAAAUAGUUUACUUUUUUACAAAAAAGUUGGCAAAAAAAUCUCAAUUUUUUCCUGAAAAUUGCUCAAGUUUUACUUUUUUUUGCCAGAAAUGGCCAAAAAGCGUUACUCUUACUUUUUGUCAACAAUUUUCACAAAAAAAAGUCUAUUUUUUUCAAGUUUAAAUUGCAAAAAGUCUCACUUUUAUGACAAAAAUUGCAACCAAUUAUUUUUUGAAAAAGUGUUGUUUGUUGCUAAAAUCCUCUCUUUGCCAUUUUGAAAAAAAAAACUCGUUUUUUUACUCAAAGGCUCAAAAUAUUAAAAAUCGUCAUAAAGCCUCACUUUUUUCUGAAAAUUGUUGAGAAAAUUCGUUUUUUUUUUGCAAAAAAUACUGUAAAUUGUUAAUCUCACUUUUUCGACAAAAAUCGUUGCCAAUUAGAUAUGUAACUAUGUCUCGUAUUCUUAAAAACCCUUGCUUUUCGCCAAAAAUUAAGAAAAAAAUCUCGUCCUUUCAUCAAAUUGCUGAAAAAGAAAACUUCGAUUUUUAUUUGAAGACUAAAAAUAUCAAAAAUCGUCAUAAAGCCUCACUUUUUUGCUGAAAAUUGCUAGGAAAUUUCACUAUUUUCCAUAAUAAUUAGGUAUUAAAAAUUGCUACUUUUUUAAAAAAAUUGGGGGAAAAAUUUUUUUGCAGCAAUUGCCAAGUCUUACUUUUUUGCCAGAUAUUGUCAAAAAAGAAGCCUGUUAAAAUUUGCUAAAAUCUCGCUUUUUUGCCAGAAAGUUUCUGAAAAUUUUCACAUUCAUGUUAAAAAUUGCCAAAAAGUGUUGCUUCAUCUGUGAAAAGUUGCAAAAUUGCCUCACUUUUCUGGAAAAAGUUUGGAGAUGUUGUCAUUUUUUUGAAUUUUAUUAUUGAAUUUCAAUUGGAAUGUUACUUAAGUAAUUGUUUUGUAAUUUUUUUUAAAAAUUGUUGCUUGAAAUGUUGUGUUGUUGUUUUUUUGUGAUUUUUUUUCCACAUUAUAAUGUUUUUGCUCAAA
This is a long non-coding RNA of Planococcus citri (citrus mealybug), 6410 nucleotides long. RefSeq lists it as uncharacterized. Lineage: Eukaryota; Metazoa; Arthropoda; Insecta; Hemiptera; Pseudococcidae. The record is from RefSeq and is a predicted model, not a curated record. The transcript is spliced from 2 exons.